GACGAACGCUGGCGGCGUGCUUAAUACAUGCAAGUCGACUUGUCUUAAGGUAGCAAUAUCUUAAGAAGAGUGGCGCACGGGUGCGUAACGCGUAGGUAAUCUGCCUUUGGGUCUGCCAUAAUCCAGCGAAAGCUGGACUAAUAUCAGAUGAUGCAGCGGCACCACAUGGUGACAGUUGUUAAAGUUUCGACGCCCAAAGAUGAGCCUGCGUCCCAUUAGGUAGUUGGUAGAGUAAUAGCCUACCAAGCCAACGAUGGGUAGCUGGUCUGAGAGGACGAUCAGCCACACUGGAACUGAGACACGGUCCAGACUCCGUACGGAGCAGCAGUAAGGAUAUUGCUCAAUGGCCGAAAGGCUGAAGC
RNAcentral lists this ribosomal RNA (362 nucleotides) under uncultured bacterium. Its description in RNAcentral is "bacterial SSU rRNA". It matches the Rfam family "Bacterial small subunit ribosomal RNA", at positions 28 to 389 of the family's 1533-position model. The record is from RNAcentral.